This 492-nucleotide ribosomal RNA is filed under the name uncultured bacterium. RNAcentral describes it as "partial 16S ribosomal RNA". It matches the Rfam family "Bacterial small subunit ribosomal RNA", at positions 29 to 507 of the family's 1533-position model. The record is from RNAcentral.
AGUGAACGCUGGCGGUAGGCCUAACACAUGCAAGUCGAACGGCAGCACAGUAAGAGCUUGCUCUUACGGGUGGCGAGUGGCGGACGGGUGAGGAAUACAUCGGAAUCUACUUUUUCGUGGGGGAUAACGUAGGGAAACUUACGCUAAUACCGCAUACGACCUACGGGUGAAAGCAGGGGAUCUUCGGACCUUGCGUGAUUGAAUGAGCCGAUGUCGGAUUAGCUAGUUGGCGGGGUAAAGGCCCACCAAGGCGACGAUCCGUAGCUGGUCUGAGAGGAUGAUCGGCCACACUGGAACUGAGACACGGUCCAGACUCCUACGGGAGGCAGCAGUGGGGAAUAUUGGACAAUGGGCGCAAGCCUGAUCCAGCCAUACCGCGUGGGUGAAGAAGGCCUUCGGGUUGUAAAGCCCUUUUGUUGGGAAAGAAAAGCAGCAGGUUAAUACCCCGCUGUUCUGACGGUACCCAAAGAAUAAGCACCGGCUAACUUCGUG